AAAGACUGAGAGGAGCAGCAGGAGUUCUUCAUCUGUAUAGUUGCGUUAAUACUUUGAGGAGCAGUUAACAGACGUUUGUUCUCAAACCUUAUUUCCUCAAAAGGGAGCGCAGAAAAGCAUGGGAUAAUUUGGAAAAAUCUUUUAGCCGGUUUAUUUAUUCAUGUGUUCCCCAAGACUCAUCCCUGCUGCUUUUGGUUUGCACAGUUUACAGACGUUUGUUCUCAAACCUUAUUUCCUCAAAAGGGAGCGCAGAAAAGCAUAGGAUAAUUUGGAAAAAUCUUCAGCUCAGCACACAGAUUACAUGACAACCCCCUGAUUGACUUGGGAUUGGAGGCCCAAAAUUUUAGGGUCUGAGGUUAGGCUCCAACAUCUUGAAAACGAUGCUGAAAAGUUGCUGGAGAUAUCUUUAUGCGAGGAUUUCUACACUGGAGACUCUUUUACUUUUGAACUUGGUCAAAAUUACGUCUACUCUAUAGACGAGGACGACGAGGAAGAAGAUGAAGACAACAAAUUGUUAAUGGAGUUUUUAUCGGACCCGAAAUCCUCAAAAUCCUGCACUUUCACAUUCAAGUUUGAGAAACCACCAAAAGAGUCAAUGAGGGCUUUAUUUGUGCUGGAAUUGGUUCACCAAGGUGAUGAUAAAGAGAAUCUAUGCCUUACUAAUAUACUUCAUUUUACAAAAGACGAUUACGAGUACGUGUAUGAAAAUUGCCUGGAGCUAGAGUAUCUAGAGGAUAAAAAGUUUAUUCAUACUCACAGGUCUAGUCGAUAUCUCUCUUUUAAUAUCCACAUCCAUCAUUUAAGGGAACCGGAAGAUCCUGGGUUUCCAUGCAUGUACAUGUCACCAAUUUUAAGGUCAUACAUGCUAAGUUUUUACGGACUGGAGGUUAUAGGUGCACUGAAAGAUGCUUGUGCUGAGUUGGCCCAAGAUUUGUCACUGU
This is a long non-coding RNA of Papaver somniferum (opium poppy), 941 nucleotides long. RefSeq lists it as uncharacterized. NCBI's taxonomy places the organism in Eukaryota, Viridiplantae, Streptophyta, Magnoliopsida, Ranunculales, Papaveraceae. The record is from RefSeq and is a predicted model, not a curated record. The transcript is spliced from 6 exons.